This 448-nucleotide ribosomal RNA is filed under the name uncultured bacterium. RNAcentral's name for it is "bacterial SSU rRNA". It matches the Rfam family "Bacterial small subunit ribosomal RNA", at positions 329 to 797 of the family's 1533-position model. The record is from RNAcentral.
GGCCAGACUCCUACGGGAGGCAGCAGUGGGGAAUAUUGCACAAUGGGGGAAACCCUGAUGCAGCGACGCCGCGUGAGUGAAGAAGUAUUUCGGUAUGUAAAGCUCUAUCAGCAGGGAAGAAGUUGACGGUACCUGAGUAAGAAGCCCCGGCUAACUACGUGCCGGCAGCCGCGGUAAUACGUAGGGGGCAAGCGUUAUCCGGAUUUACUGGGUGUAAAGGGAGCGUAGACGGCAGUGCAAGUCUGAAGUGAAAGCCCCGGGCUUAACCCGGGAAUUGCUUUGGAAACUGUACGGCUGGAGUGCUGGAGAGGUAAGCGGAAUUCCUAGUGUAGCGGUGAAAUGCGUAGAUAUUAGGAGGAACACCAGUGGCGAAGGCGGCUUACUGGACAGUAACUGACGUUGAGGCUCGAAAGCGUGGGGAGCAAACAGGAUUAGAUACCCCAGUACA